UACGGAGGGGGCUAGCGUUGUUCGGAAUUACUGGGCGUAAAGCGCACGUAGGCGGAUCAGAAAGUUGGAGGUGAAAUCCCAGGGCUCAACCUUGGAACUGCCUUCAAAACUAUUGGUCUUGAGUUCGAGAGAGGUGAGUGGAAUUCCGAGUGUAGAGGUGAAAUUCGUAGAUAUUCGGAGGAACACCAGUGGCGAAGGCGGCUCACUGGCUCGAUACUGACGCUGAGGUGCGAAAGCGUGGGGAGCAAACAGG
Molecule: ribosomal RNA, 253 nt
Filed under: uncultured bacterium
Lineage: Bacteria
Description: partial 16S ribosomal RNA
Rfam family: Bacterial small subunit ribosomal RNA
Source: RNAcentral